CCUACGGGAGGCAGCAGUAGGGAAUCUUCCACAAUGGACGCAAGCCUGAUGGAGCAACGCCGCGUGAGUGAAGAAGGGUUUCGGCUCGUAAAGCUCUGUUGUUAAAGAAGAACGUGGGUAAGAGUAACUGUUUACCCAGUGACGGUAUUUAACCAGAAAGCCACGGCUAACUACGUGCCAGCAGCCGCGGUAAUA
This 195-nucleotide ribosomal RNA is filed under the name uncultured bacterium. RNAcentral describes it as "partial 16S ribosomal RNA". It matches the Rfam family "Bacterial small subunit ribosomal RNA", at positions 338 to 525 of the family's 1533-position model. The record is from RNAcentral.